RNAcentral lists this ribosomal RNA (496 nucleotides) under uncultured bacterium. RNAcentral's name for it is "partial 16S ribosomal RNA". It matches the Rfam family "Bacterial small subunit ribosomal RNA", at positions 29 to 507 of the family's 1533-position model. The record is from RNAcentral.
AUGAACGCUGGCGGCGUGCCUAAUACAUGCAAGUCGAGCGAACAGAUGAGGAGCUUGCUCCUCUGACGUUAGCGGCGGACGGGUGAGUAACACGUGGAUAACCUACCUAUAAGACUGGGAUAACUUCGGGAAACCGGAGCUAAUACCGGAUAAUAUAUUGAACCGCAUGGUUCAAUAGUGAAAGACGGUUUUGCUGUCACUUAUAGAUGGAUCCGCGCCGCAUUAGCUAGUUGGUAAGGUAACGGCUUGCCAAGGCAACGAUGCGUAGCCGACCUGAGAGGGUGAUCGGCCACACUGGAACUGAGACACGGUCCAGACUCCUACGGGAGGCAGCAGUAGGGAAUCUUCCGCAAAGGGCGAAAGCCUGACGGAGCAACGCCGCGUGAGUGAUGAAGGUCUUCGGAUCGUAAAACUCUGUUAUUAGGGAAGAACAAAUGUGUAAGUAACUAUGCACGUCUUGACGGUACCUAAUCAGAAAGCCACGGCUAACUACGUG